Molecule: ribosomal RNA, 436 nt
Filed under: uncultured bacterium
Lineage: Bacteria
Description: bacterial SSU rRNA
Rfam family: Bacterial small subunit ribosomal RNA
Source: RNAcentral
UACGGAAGGCAGCAGUGGGGAAUAUUGCACAAUGGGCGGAAGCCUGAUGCAGCGACGCCGCGUGAGGGAUGACGGCCUUCGGGUUGUAAACCUCUUUCAGUAGGGAAGAAGCGAAAGUGACGGUACCUGCAGAAGAAGCGCCGGCUAACUACGUGCCAGCAGCCGCGGUAAUACGUAGGGCGCAAGCGUUAUCCGGAUUUAUUGGGCGUAAAGAGCUCGUAGGCGGUUUGUCGCGUCUGCCGUGAAAGUCCGAGGCUCAACCUCGGAUCUGCGGUGGGUACGGGCAGACUAGAGUGAUGUAGGGGAGACUGGAAUUCCUGGUGUAGCGGUGAAAUGCGCAGAUAUCAGGAGGAACACCGAUGGCGAAGGCAGGUCUCUGGGCAUUUUACUGACGCUGAGGAGCGAAAGCAUGGGGAGCGAACAGGGAUUAGAUACC